This is a long non-coding RNA of Gallus gallus (chicken), 664 nucleotides long. RefSeq lists it as uncharacterized. Lineage: Eukaryota; Metazoa; Chordata; Aves; Galliformes; Phasianidae. The record is from RefSeq and is a predicted model, not a curated record. The transcript has 2 exons.
GAGAACAGCAGGGGCUUCCCCUGCAUCCCAUUGUGAUGCAGGCCGGCUCCCCAGCUUCAGCCUGGGCUGGAUGCCACGCUAGUGAGGAUGCUCUGAGUCACAGGGUGUCUGCACGCUGCGCAGCCCAGCCCCGCACGGCAAGCGAUGCGCCUGCAAGCCCUUAUCACAGCCUGCACGUAAAAGGCUCCUCCGGCUGCCUGUCCUCUGCGUCACGGGGGUCAGGUUCCGGUGAUGGGAUUUCCCUGUGCAGGGCACAGGAGAUUGCAUGCAGAGAAACUUUCCUGCAGCUGGAAAUUGUCUCCAAGACAUGCUAAGAUGAGCCAGAAUGAGUGAUGGAGGUGCACUGAGUCCCUGCUGCUCUCACUGGAGGUCACCUUGAUCUUCCCCAUCUUCAACCUUGGCUGCUGAUAGCACUGCUAACACAGCUAUGGGCUUGGGAGCACCCAAUGGGAACCACAGCGUUGGGCUGGUAGAGCACCCAUUCUUCUAGGAAUGUCCCUGAGCAGAUCACGCUGCACAGAGCUUCCAAGUAUGAACAAAUCUAAAUGAAGACAGCUGGCAGAGGCUCUCGUCAUCUAACUCCUUCCAGAUGUGUACUUGUAUGCUGCAGUUCCUGACUGGUGACACCUCUGAGGGAAUCCUUGGGGACACGGCGGUGAUGGGG